This 275-nucleotide ribosomal RNA is filed under the name uncultured bacterium. Its description in RNAcentral is "partial 16S ribosomal RNA". It matches the Rfam family "Bacterial small subunit ribosomal RNA", at positions 523 to 797 of the family's 1533-position model. The record is from RNAcentral.
AUACGGAGGGUGCAAGCGUUAAUCGGAAUUACUGGGCGUAAAGCGUACGUAGGCGGUUUAUUAAGUCAGAUGUGAAAGCCCCGGGCUUAACCUGGGAACUGCAUUUGAAACUAGUAGACUAGAGUAUGGUAGAGGGGGGUAGAAUUCCUAGUGUAGCGGUGAAAUGCGUAGAUAUUAGGAGGAAUACCAGUGGCGAAGGCGGCCCCCUGGACCAAUACUGACGCUGAGGUACGAAAGCGUGGGGAGCGAACAGGAUUAGAAACCCCAGUAGUCCC